Zingiber officinale is the source of this 1875-nucleotide RNA transcript. It is a transcript of the gene named trihelix transcription factor ASIL1-like, with no coding region annotated. The transcript has 3 exons. The record is from RefSeq and is a predicted model, not a curated record. NCBI's taxonomy places the organism in Eukaryota, Viridiplantae, Streptophyta, Magnoliopsida, Zingiberales, Zingiberaceae.
GCGCCGGCGGCGGUCGGCGACGUGAGGUCCCAUCUGAACCGGCGUGCUAUUGGCGGUCAACAAUAAAUGCGUGCAAACGACAGGCCAUUCUCCGUCCAUGGCGGGCAAGGGACAGGCCUGAGGCCUCGGCUUUAGGCCAACCCCAUUUCCAGCUCUGCCCCUCUCGCUUCCACGCCUUCUCGUCGCCUUCUCUCCGGGGGCAAUUUGGUCAUCCCCAAUCCGUCCUUGUCAUCGCGCACCGAAACCAACGGCGGCGAUGCCCCAUGGACCCCGCCCCCGGUCUUCGGUGCCGACGUCUUCUGCUUUCAACAAGCUUCGCCUCGGCCGGCGAGACGGGGGAGAAUAAUUAGAGGAAAAGAUCGGAUCUGUGAGAGGAGAAAGAGGAAAUAAGUUUAGAUCUGGCGGCGGCGGCGGUGAUGGAGGGGAAGGGGACGAGGAUGGCGCCCUACCGGGAGGAUUGCUGGAGCGAGGGGGAAACCUCGGCGCUGGUUGACGCGUGGGGCGACCGCUACUUGGAGCUCAACCGUGGGAGCCUCCGCCAGCAGCACUGGCAGGAGGUCGCUGACGCUGUCAACUCCCGCGCAGGAGCGCGCGGCCGCAGCCGCCCGCUCCGAACCGAUGCGCAGUGCAAGAACCGGGUCGAUACCCUCAAGAAGAAGUACAAGAACGAGAAGGCAAGGAUCGCAGCUGGAAGAGGAGGAGGAGGAGGAGACGGCGGCGCGGGGGGCUGGAGCUUCUUCUCCCGCCUUGAUGCCCUCGUGGGGUCGUCGUCCGGUCCGCCCCAUGGCAAGAACCCUCCCGCUUCGCCUCUGCUCUCCUCCCACCGUAAAGGCUCCUCCAUGCGUCAAGCUAGCGUGAGGGAGAAAAAGCCAGCGGCGACCGGGAUCGCCGCCGCCGCCGCCGCUAACGACCUCGACGACGAGGAGGAAGGGAACGGCUUUAGGUCGCCGUCGGGUUCAUCCUCCUCAAAGAAGAAGAGAAGGGCUCGGGGGCGAGCCCGCGACGAGCUCCGUGAGCUGGCGAGGGCAAUAGAGAGCUUCGCCGAGAUGUACCAGAGGAUGGAAGAAGCGAAGCAGCAGCAGAGGACGGAGCUGGAGAAGAAGCGGAUGGAGUUCACCAAGGAGCUCGAGCUCCAGCGGAUGCAAAUCUUUGUGGACUCUCAGGUGCAGCUUGCCAAGAUCAAGCGUGUCAAGCCAUCCGAAAAAGAUAGUUACAGACUGAACUAAGAAUCUGAACUGAAGCAAAUGGUGCUGUUAGUGAGCUGCAUUCUGAAGUCUGCAAUUGCAUGCACCCUAAACUUGAAGUUUGGAUUUAUUUGCUGGUUUAUUUUGGCGGCGGCGGAGGCCGAGAGGUGAACUCGUGGCCGGAGCCAGCCAGGGUGGACUUACGGCGGCUUCGUUUGGGUUACGGCCUUACGGGAUCAAUUGUUAUGCGUUUGUUGGAUCAGGCCCAAUUGUGGUCCAAUUCAUCGAGCAAUAAUUGUAUCAGCUACCCAAUUCCGUUCAUGGGCUGAAUUUGGAACAGGCCCAAUGGUGGUCCACGUUCUUCGUUCACAUUCGAAGAAUUCACUCCUAUAUAAACCAAAUCACGGAGCGGUACUCGGUGAGACCGGGUCUGCAGGGAGACGGGGAACGUCCAGGUCGCCCUCCGAUCAACGCAUGGAAACCGAUCGGCGACCUCCCUCCUCUCUGAUCCCGCCUCCGCCGCUUUUCGAUGCCGGCAUCGAGCACUCCUACACCUCCACGGAAGCAGCUGCCUCGCCAUCGUCCAACGCUUCCCCGAUCGCCGAUCCCGAUCGCCGUCAAUCUCGGAGAGGCUCCCUCGUCGUAUCUCCUUCUCUCGAAGUGGAUGUCUUCGCCGAUGCCAUUGAUGAGG